AGAGUUUGAUCCUGGCUCAGGAUGAACGCUGGCGGUCUGCUUAACACAUGCAAGUCGAACGGGCUUUAUGAGCUUGCUCAUAAAGUUAGUGGCGGACGGGUGAGUAACGCGUGAGAAUCUACCUGGAGGACGGAGAUAACAGAGGGAAACCGCUGCUAAUCCCCGAUGAGCCAGAAAAUCUGGUCAAAGAUGUAUCGCCCCCAGAAGAGCUCGCGUCCGAUUAGUUAGUUGGUGGGGUAAAAGCCUACCAAGACAGCGAUCGGUAGCCGGUCUGAGAGGACAAUCGGCCACACUGGGACUGAGACACGGCCCAGACUCCUACGGGAGGCAGCAGUGGGGAAUUUUCCGCAAUGGGGGCAACCCUGACGGAGCAAGACCGCGUGGGGGAGGAAUGCCUUAGGGUUGUAAACCCCUUUUAUCUGGGAAGAAAAUACUGACGGUACCAGAUGAAUCAGCCUCGGCUAACUCCGUGCCAGCAGCCGCGGUAAUACGGAGGACGCAAGCGUUAUCCGGAUUUAUUGGGCGUAAAGGGUCUGCAGGUGGCGGUUCAAGUCUGC
Molecule: ribosomal RNA, 557 nt
Filed under: uncultured cyanobacterium
Lineage: Bacteria; Bacillati; Cyanobacteriota
Description: bacterial SSU rRNA
Rfam family: Bacterial small subunit ribosomal RNA
Source: RNAcentral